AGAGUUUGAUCAUGGCUCAGGACGAACGCUGGCGGCGUGCUUAACACAUGCAAGUCGAACGAUGAACCACUUCGGUGGGGAUUAGUGGCGAACGGGUGAGUAACACGUGGGCAAUCUGCCCUUCACUCUGGGACAAGCCCUGGAAACGGGGUCUAAUACCGGAUACAACACUCUCGGGCAUCCGAUGAGUGUGGAAAGCUCCGGCGGUGAAGGAUGAGCCCGCGGCCUAUCAGCUUGUUGGUGAGGUAACGGCUCACCAAGGCGACGACGGGUAGCCGGCCUGAGAGGGCGACCGGCCACACUGGGACUGAGACACGGCCCAGACUCCUACGGGAGGCAGCAGUGGGGAAUAUUGCACAAUGGGCGAAAGCCUGAUGCAGCGACGCCGCGUGAGGGAUGACGGCCUUCGGGUUGUAAACCUCUUUCAGCAGGGAAGAAGCGAAAGUGACGGUACCUGCAGAAGAAGCGCCGGCUAACUACGUGCCAGCAGCCGCGGUAAUACGUAGGGCGCGAGCGUUGUCCGGAAUUAUUGGGCGUAAAGAGCUCGUAGGCGGUCUGUCGCGUCGGAUGUGAAAGCCCGGGGCUUAACCCCGGGUCUGCAUUCGAUACGGGCAGACUAGAGUGUGGUAGGGGAGAUCGGAAUUCCUGGUGUAGCGGUGAAAUGCGCAGAUAUCAGGAGGAACACCGGUGGCGAAGGCGGAUCUCUGGGCCAUUACUGACGCUGAGGAGCGAAAGC
Molecule: ribosomal RNA, 736 nt
Filed under: uncultured bacterium
Lineage: Bacteria
Description: bacterial SSU rRNA
Rfam family: Bacterial small subunit ribosomal RNA
Source: RNAcentral